GGACCCGCACAAGCAGUGGAGCAUGUGGUUUAAUUCGACGCAACGCGAAGAACCUUACCAGCGUUUGACAUGGGAAGUGCCGGUUACAGAAUGGUAACCUUCAGUUCGGCUGGCUUCCACACAGGUGCUGCAUGGCUGUCGUCAGCUCGUGUCGUGAGAUGUUGGUUAAGUCCCGCAACGAGCGCAACCCUUAUCGUUAGUUACUAACAGUUCGGCUGAGGACUCUAGCCAGACUGCCUACGCAAGUAGUGAGGAAGGUGGGGACGACGUCAAGUCAUCAUGGCCCUUACGUCCAGGGCUGCACACGUGCUACAAUGGUCGGUACAAUGGGUCGCCACCCAGCGAUGGGGCGCAAA
Molecule: ribosomal RNA, 356 nt
Filed under: uncultured bacterium
Lineage: Bacteria
Description: bacterial SSU rRNA
Rfam family: Bacterial small subunit ribosomal RNA
Source: RNAcentral